GACAGAGGGGGCGAGCGUUGUCCGGCAUCACUGGGCGUAAAGCGCGCGCCGGCGACAACCUUAGUGUCGUGUGAAAGCCCCCGGCUCAACCGGGGGAGGCCAUGGCAAACUGGGUCGCUCGAGCUGCGGAGAGGCCCCUCGAAUUGCCGGUGUAGCGGUGAAAUGCGUAGAGAUCGGCAGGAAGACCAAGGGGGAAGCCAGGGGGCUGGCCGCAGGCUGACGCUGAGGCGCGACAGCGUGGGGAGCAAACCGG
RNAcentral lists this ribosomal RNA (253 nucleotides) under uncultured bacterium. Its description in RNAcentral is "partial 16S ribosomal RNA". It matches the Rfam family "Bacterial small subunit ribosomal RNA", at positions 524 to 776 of the family's 1533-position model. The record is from RNAcentral.